AGGGACUGCCGGCGACAAGUCGGAGGAAGGUGGGGAGUGACGUCAAAUCAUCAUGCCCCUUAUGACCUGGGCUACACACGUGCUACAAUGGGCGGUACAAAGGGCUGCGAACCCGCGAGGGGGAGCGAAUCCCAAAAAGCCGCUCUCAGUUCGGAUUGCAGGCUGCAACUCGCCUGCAUGAAGCCGGAAUCGCUAGUAAUCGCGGAUCAGCAUGCCGCGGUGAAUACGUUCCCGGGCCUU
This 240-nucleotide ribosomal RNA is filed under the name uncultured Geobacillus sp. Its description in RNAcentral is "partial 16S ribosomal RNA". It matches the Rfam family "Bacterial small subunit ribosomal RNA", at positions 1144 to 1382 of the family's 1533-position model. Lineage: Bacteria; Bacillati; Bacillota; Bacilli; Caryophanales; Anoxybacillaceae. The record is from RNAcentral.